RNAcentral lists this ribosomal RNA (399 nucleotides) under uncultured bacterium. RNAcentral's name for it is "bacterial SSU rRNA". It matches the Rfam family "Bacterial small subunit ribosomal RNA", at positions 362 to 775 of the family's 1533-position model. The record is from RNAcentral.
UAUUGGACAAUGGGGGGAACCCUGAUCCAGCGACGCCGCGUGAGUGAAGAAGUAUUUCGGUAUGUAAAGCUCUAUCAGCAGGGAAGAAAGAAAUGACGGUACCUGACUAAGAAGCCCCGGCUAACUACGUGCCAGCAGCCGCGGUAAUACGUAUGGAGCAAGCGUUAUCCGGAUUUACUGGGUGUAAAGGGAGAGUAGGUGGCAGAGCAAGUCCGAAGUGAAAACCCAAAGCUCAACUAUGGGAAUGCUUUAGAAACUGCUCAGCUAGAGUGCAGGAGAGGCAAGUGGAAUUCUUAGUGUAGCGGUGAAAUGCGUAGAUAUUAGGAGGAACACCAGUGGCGAAGGCGGCUUGCUGGACUGUAACUGACACUGAGGCUCGAAAGCGUGGGGAGCAAACAG